GACAGGUGCUGCAUGGCUGUCGUCAGCUCGUGUUGUGAAAUGUUGGGUUAAGUCCCGCAACGAGCGCAACCCUUAUCCUUUGUUGCCAACGGUCCGGCCGGGAACUCAAAGGAAACUGCUGCUGAUAAACUGGAGGAAGGUGGGGAUGACGUCAACUCAUCAUGCCCCUUAUUAUUAGGGCUACACCCCUGCUACAAUGGUGGAUACAAAAAAAAGCUACCUCCCGGGAGCAAGCAGACCUCAUAAAAUAAUUCUUAUUCCGGAUUGUAGUCUGCAGCUCCACUCCUUGAAGUCGGAAUCAUUAGUAAUCGUCAAUCAUAAUG
RNAcentral lists this ribosomal RNA (323 nucleotides) under Enterobacter sp. RNAcentral describes it as "bacterial SSU rRNA". It matches the Rfam family "Bacterial small subunit ribosomal RNA", at positions 1033 to 1356 of the family's 1533-position model. Lineage: Bacteria; Pseudomonadati; Pseudomonadota; Gammaproteobacteria; Enterobacterales; Enterobacteriaceae. The record is from RNAcentral.